Molecule: ribosomal RNA, 497 nt
Filed under: uncultured bacterium
Lineage: Bacteria
Description: partial 16S ribosomal RNA
Rfam family: Bacterial small subunit ribosomal RNA
Source: RNAcentral
GACGAACGCUGGCGGCGUGCCUAAUACAUGCAAGUUGAGCGAUGAAGGUUGGUGCUUGCACCGAUUUGAUGAGCAGCGAACGGGUGAGUAACGCGUGGGGAAUCUGCCUUUGAGCGGGGGACAACAUUUGGAAACGAAUGCUAAUACCGCAUAACAACUUUAAACACAAGUUUUAAGUUUGAAAGAUGCAAUUGCAUCACUCAAAGAUGAUCCCGCGUUGUAUUAGCUAGUUGGUGAGGUAAAGGCUCACCCAGGCGAUGAUACAUAGCCGACCUGAGAGGGUGAACGGCCACAUUGGGACUGAGACACGGCCCAAACUCCUACGGGAGGCAGCAGUAGGGAAUCUUCGGCAAUGGACGAAAGUCUGACCGAGCAAAGCCGCGUGAGUGAAGAAGGUUUUCGGAUCGUAAAACUCUGUUGGUAGAGAAGAACGUUGGUGAGAGUGGAAAGCUCAUCAAGUGACGGUAACUACCCAGAAAGGGACGGCUAACUACGUG